Molecule: ribosomal RNA, 1470 nt
Filed under: Lacticaseibacillus casei
Lineage: Bacteria; Bacillati; Bacillota; Bacilli; Lactobacillales; Lactobacillaceae
Description: Lactobacillus casei 16S ribosomal RNA
Rfam family: Bacterial small subunit ribosomal RNA
Source: RNAcentral
CUGGCGGCGUGCCUAAUACAUGCAAGUCGAACGAGUUCUCGUUGAUGAUCGGUGCUUGCACCGAGAUUCAACAUGGAACGAGUGGCGGACGGGUGAGUAACACGUGGGUAACCUGCCCUUAAGUGGGGGAUAACAUUUGGAAACAGAUGCUAAUACCGCAUAGAUCCAAGAACCGCAUGGUUCUUGGCUGAAAGAUGGCGUAAGCUAUCGCUUUUGGAUGGACCCGCGGCGUAUUAGCUAGUUGGUGAGGUAAUGGCUCACCAAGGCGAUGAUACGUAGCCGAACUGAGAGGUUGAUCGGCCACAUUGGGACUGAGACACGGCCCAAACUCCUACGGGAGGCAGCAGUAGGGAAUCUUCCACAAUGGACGCAAGUCUGAUGGAGCAACGCCGCGUGAGUGAAGAAGGCUUUCGGGUCGUAAAACUCUGUUGUUGGAGAAGAAUGGUCGGCAGAGUAACUGUUGUCGGCGUGACGGUAUCCAACCAGAAAGCCACGGCUAACUACGUGCCAGCAGCCGCGGUAAUACGUAGGUGGCAAGCGUUAUCCGGAUUUAUUGGGCGUAAAGCGAGCGCAGGCGGUUUUUUAAGUCUGAUGUGAAAGCCCUCGGCUUAACCGAGGAAGCGCAUCGGAAACUGGGAAACUUGAGUGCAGAAGAGGACAGUGGAACUCCAUGUGUAGCGGUGAAAUGCGUAGAUAUAUGGAAGAACACCAGUGGCGAAGGCGGCUGUCUGGUCUGUAACUGACGCUGAGGCUCGAAAGCAUGGGUAGCGAACAGGAUUAGAUACCCUGGUAGUCCAUGCCGUAAACGAUGAAUGCUAGGUGUUGGAGGGUUUCCGCCCUUCAGUGCCGCAGCUAACGCAUUAAGCAUUCCGCCUGGGGAGUACGACCGCAAGGUUGAAACUCAAAGGAAUUGACGGGGGCCCGCACAAGCGGUGGAGCAUGUGGUUUAAUUCGAAGCAACGCGAAGAACCUUACCAGGUCUUGACAUCUUUUGAUCACCUGAGAGAUCAGGUUUCCCCUUCGGGGGCAAAAUGACAGGUGGUGCAUGGUUGUCGUCAGCUCGUGUCGUGAGAUGUUGGGUUAAGUCCCGCAACGAGCGCAACCCUUAUGACUAGUUGCCAGCAUUUAGUUGGGCACUCUAGUAAGACUGCCGGUGACAAACCGGAGGAAGGUGGGGAUGACGUCAAAUCAUCAUGCCCCUUAUGACCUGGGCUACACACGUGCUACAAUGGAUGGUACAACGAGUUGCGAGACCGCGAGGUCAAGCUAAUCUCUUAAAGCCAUUCUCAGUUCGGACUGUAGGCUGCAACUCGCCUACACGAAGUCGGAAUCGCUAGUAAUCGCGGAUCAGCACGCCGCGGUGAAUACGUUCCCGGGCCUUGUACACACCGCCCGUCACACCAUGAGAGUUUGUAACACCCGAAGCCGGUGGCGUAACCCUUUUAGGGAGCGAGCCGUCUAAGGUGGGAC